Molecule: ribosomal RNA, 400 nt
Filed under: Salmonella enterica
Lineage: Bacteria; Pseudomonadati; Pseudomonadota; Gammaproteobacteria; Enterobacterales; Enterobacteriaceae
Description: bacterial SSU rRNA
Rfam family: Bacterial small subunit ribosomal RNA
Source: RNAcentral
AAAUUGAAGAGUUUGAUCAUGGCUCAGAUUGAACGCUGGCGGCAGGCCUAACACAUGCAAGUCGAACGGUAGCACAGAGAGCUUGCUCUCGGGUGACGAGUGGCGGACGGGUGAGUAAUGUCUGGGAAACUGCCUGAUGGAGGGGGAUAACUACUGGAAACGGUGGCUAAUACCGCAUAACGUCGCAAGACCAAAGAGGGGGACCUUCGGGCCUCUUGCCAUCAGAUGUGCCCAGAUGGGAUUAGCUAGUUGGUGAGGUAACGGCUCACCAAGGCGACGAUCCCUAGCUGGUCUGAGAGGAUGACCAGCCACACUGGAACUGAGACACGGUCCAGACUCCUACGGGAGGCAGCAGUGGGGAAUAUUGCACAAUGGGCGCAAGCCUGAUGCAGCCAUGCCG